This 601-nucleotide long non-coding RNA is filed under the name Lupinus angustifolius (narrow-leaved blue lupine). RNAcentral's name for it is "long non-coding RNA (LANG_LNC000186)". Lineage: Eukaryota; Viridiplantae; Streptophyta; Magnoliopsida; Fabales; Fabaceae. The record is from RNAcentral.
GAAUAAAAAAAAAAUCAUAACAACAAAGUACAACACAUCAUAACUCAAAACUUUCAUUAUUGCAUAUAGAGGAAAACAUAGACAAAUAUAUUCUACACGCAGAGAGAAAUAUAUUCUACUUUUAGACAAUUAAACUAUAGUCUAAGAAGAAUAUCACAAUCCUCUAUACUCACAUACAAAGAAUUGGCAUCACAAAAAAAUACUAACAUACAAGACAAUUAUUAAUGGCCAGAAGUGCUUGCCCAAAACCAAGGCUAGGGACACAUAUCACAAGAAUUCGAUCCAAACUUAUGAGGUGGUGCUAUGUGCUUCUCAUUGGCAUGCCCUUUUUUACUUGGUGAAGAAGAUGGCACUGUGCCCUUACGAAGUGCACUUAGAAACAAACUUUCCCUAGAAGAUGUGUUCAGCUUUUUCCUUCCCUUCUUCUCUUCUCCUACAAGAAGCAUUCUACCUUCUAAAAUUGAACAAAGUGGAGCAGAUAGAACAAUGAAUAGGAGCAACAAAGUUCCAAAAUGAGACAUAUAUGUGAGAUAACUUGAAUAAUUCACAUUGGUCAAGUUCUUGAAAUCUAUAUAUAUAAUGGUUGAAGAGAAACAUGGAU